UGAUAGUUCUUUGUGUCAGCUGUUUGAUACUAUCUAACUAAUUUUAGACACAUAUGUUUGAGGUGGCAACAAGUGUUAUCACCGGGCAACCAGUGUUUCAUAAACAACCCUAAAAACGUGUCUGAAAUAUUGCGAACA
Non-coding RNA from Caenorhabditis elegans, 138 nucleotides. NCBI's taxonomy places the organism in Eukaryota, Metazoa, Nematoda, Chromadorea, Rhabditida, Rhabditidae. The record is from Ensembl.